RNAcentral lists this ribosomal RNA (381 nucleotides) under Triticum aestivum (bread wheat). Its description in RNAcentral is "partial small subunit ribosomal RNA". The record is from RNAcentral. Lineage: Eukaryota; Viridiplantae; Streptophyta; Magnoliopsida; Poales; Poaceae.
AUGGCUGAAUCCACGGGAGAGUUGAAGACGAUGCUGCAGGCGCUGCUGCAGCGGUUCGAAGAGACCAUGCUUGCGGGCGACAAGCAGCGCGAGGCCCAGAUCGCAUUCAACACGCAAGUCUCGGCGGAUCUGGCGCAUAUCCGCAAGCAGCUGGAUCUCACCCAGGCCGACGUCGACGAGGUGCGGCAGCAGCGCGAAUCACCUUCUUCACCUGCGGCCACUGCGCCUCACCGACCGAGGGAUGCCGACCACCACGACGGCGACACGCAGGCCUCCACGGUCACGUUGAUGGAGCACGCGCGCGGGCCUCUUCCUCAGGGCCCUGCCAUGCGCCUCGCCAACAACGGGCCGCCCCUGCUGCCGUUGUGGCAUCCUCCCUAG